Molecule: ribosomal RNA, 283 nt
Filed under: Bifidobacterium pseudocatenulatum
Lineage: Bacteria; Bacillati; Actinomycetota; Actinomycetes; Bifidobacteriales; Bifidobacteriaceae
Description: partial 16S ribosomal RNA
Rfam family: Bacterial small subunit ribosomal RNA
Source: RNAcentral
AGGCUUUGCUUGGUGGUGAGAGUGGCGAACGGGUGAGUAAUGCGUGACCGACCUGCCCCAUACACCGGAAUAGCUCCUGGAAACGGGUGGUAAUGCCGGAUGCUCCGACUCCUCGCAUGGGGUGUCGGGAAAGAUUUCAUCGGUAUGGGAUGGGGUCGCGUCCUAUCAGGUAGUCGGCGGGGUAACGGCCCACCGAGCCUACGACGGGUAGCCGGCCUGAGAGGGCGACCGGCCACAUUGGGACUGAGAUACGGCCCAGACUCCUACGGGAGGCAGCAGUAGG